Molecule: small RNA, 589 nt
Filed under: Pan troglodytes (chimpanzee)
Lineage: Eukaryota; Metazoa; Chordata; Mammalia; Primates; Hominidae
Description: retained intron
Source: RNAcentral
GAAGAUAUGAGAAAAUUCAUGGAAGAAGUAAGGAAAAGGAGAGAGCUAGUCUAGAUAAAAAAAGAGAUAAAGACUACAGAAGGAAAGAGAUCUUGCCUUUUGAAAAGAUGAAGGAACAAAGGUUGAGAGAACAUUUAGUUCGUUUUGAAAGGCUGCGACGAGCAAUGGAACUUCGAAGGAACGUCGUAAGGAAGCUGAACGGAUUGCUCGAGAAAGAGAGGAACUCAGAAGGCAACAACAGCAGCUUCGUUAUGAACAAGAAAAAAGGAAUUCCUUGAAACGCCCACGUGAUGUAGAUCAUAGGUAGUUACUCAUUUUAUUCCUUAACAGUUAACCUUGCUGUUUUAUUCCCUUUAGGCUAAGACUAGAGAAUUAGAAAGUACAGGCUCCCAUCACUGGAAUAAAAGUCAUGAUCAACAGGGAUGGGAAGGAUUACAGUACUGGGGUAGACCCAGUGCACUGGCAAGUGGGAACAGUCUGUGUUUCUUUCCCUGUCUACCUUUCUGAUGCCAAAUGUUUUUCAUUAUGACUGGAAAUACAUUGUCAUAGUAGGCUUCAAUAAUAAUUAAACAGAUUUUGAACAUUCUUA